This 73-nucleotide transfer RNA is filed under the name Anaerolineales bacterium. RNAcentral's name for it is "tRNA-Lys". It matches the Rfam family "tRNA". From Rfam's summary of the family: Transfer RNA (tRNA) molecules are approximately 80 nucleotides in length. Their secondary structure includes four short double-helical elements and three loops (D, anti-codon, and T loops). Further hydrogen bonds mediate the characteristic L-shaped molecular structure. tRNAs have two regions of fundamental functional importance: the anti-codon, which is responsible for specific mRNA codon recognition, and the 3' end, to which the tRNAs corresponding amino acid is attached (by aminoacyl-tRNA synthetases). tRNAs cope with the degeneracy of the genetic code in two manners: having more than one tRNA (with a specific anti-codon) for a particular amino acid; and 'wobble' base-pairing, i.e. permitting non-standard base-pairing at the 3rd anti-codon position. RNAcentral also lists the same sequence under 1 other name. The record is from RNAcentral. Lineage: Bacteria; Bacillati; Chloroflexota; Anaerolineae; Anaerolineales.
GGCCCCGUAGCUCAACUGGCAGAGCAAGCGACUCUUAAUCGUUAGGUUACAGGUUCGAGUCCUGUCGGGGUCA